UACGUAGGGUGCGAGCGUUAAUCGGAAUUACUGGGCGUAAAGCGUGCGCAGGCGGUUUCUUAAGCCAGAUGUGAAAGCCCCGGGCUUAACCUGGGAAUUGCGUUUGGAACUGGGAGACUAGAGUGUGGCAGAGGGAGGUAGAAUUCCACGUGUAGCAGUGAAAUGCGUAGAGAUGUGGAGGAAUACCGAUGGCGAAGGCAGCCUCCUGGGUCAACACUGACGAUCAUGCACGAAAGAGUGGGGAGCAAACAGG
RNAcentral lists this ribosomal RNA (253 nucleotides) under uncultured bacterium. RNAcentral's name for it is "partial 16S ribosomal RNA". It matches the Rfam family "Bacterial small subunit ribosomal RNA", at positions 524 to 776 of the family's 1533-position model. The record is from RNAcentral.